GCCUGAUUGUCCUCUCCUUUCCUUACCUUCAGCACCAAGAAGUUUCCGGUCCCGGUACAGAUCAGUGAGGAAGAGGCUAUUGACAAGUGUGGAUUUGCCCAGGCCAGACUCUCCUGAGAGGAGAGAGGACAGAGGCACCAAAUCAGAAGGGACCCUUCUCUGGGCUGUCUGAUAGUCUGCAGAGACACAGCUGCUUCCGUGCUCUAGGAGAGAGGGACUCCUUGGAGAUCUGAUCUCACUAGUAGUCGUAAUUCUUUGGAUGGGCUCAGUUUGUACUGCUUCAUCCUUUGGGUAAGACAAAAUCCUACGGGGAACUCUGACUCCUUGGGGGUUCUGGACCUUGGAUGGUGGGUCAUCUUCUAAGAUUUGUGAUUGUAAGUUAUUCUUCUGGUCUUGAAAACUCAACUGAUGAGUAGAUUUGGCAUCUGGGAUUGAUGAAGCAUGAUGGCCGACCUCGCGCCCUGACUUGCUCUCACUGCCUCUUCGUGCUGCUUCCUCUCUGGGUGGACUAACUUUCCAUUGUCUGCUUGAAGCAUGGGAAGCCAGUGUCUGAGUCUUCUGGCUCUUUAGAUGGGGAGAGGAAUGGCGGGAUGAUUCUGUUCUUGGUCCAGUCUCGGGUCCCCGAGGAGUGGGUACUGCAUAGUGUCCAGGUCCUGACUGGAGGGAGACAGAUCGAGGGUAGUCUGAUGCUGAAUGGGGAGUGGUGGGAUGUGCAGCUUCUGAUCUUCGGUGGGAAGGGUUCAGGGAGACUGCAGCACUUCGAUGGCUUGAGGCAAGAACGUACCCAUGUCCCUGCUGAGGGGAUGUGUUAGUAGUAACCUCAGACCCUCUCUGUGCUGAAACCGCUACCUUGGCCCCAGGUUUAUUUGUCUUGACCAUCUGAUAGAUUGUGCCCUUCUGAGUAGAUCCCGUAUUUUACUGGCUGGCUUGUAUUCAGGAUCCUAAUGAUGCCUGAAUAUUUACCCUGUUUUAAAGCUGCUGUUUCUUGGGCUCCCACAAA
Molecule: long non-coding RNA, 1000 nt
Organism: Homo sapiens (human)
Lineage: Eukaryota; Metazoa; Chordata; Mammalia; Primates; Hominidae
Gene: SEPTIN4-AS1
Product: SEPTIN4 antisense RNA 1
Source: Ensembl